Molecule: transfer RNA, 87 nt
Filed under: Pseudomonadota bacterium
Lineage: Bacteria; Pseudomonadati; Pseudomonadota
Also listed under: 3 other names
Description: tRNA-Leu
Rfam family: tRNA
About the family: Transfer RNA (tRNA) molecules are approximately 80 nucleotides in length. Their secondary structure includes four short double-helical elements and three loops (D, anti-codon, and T loops). Further hydrogen bonds mediate the characteristic L-shaped molecular structure. tRNAs have two regions of fundamental functional importance: the anti-codon, which is responsible for specific mRNA codon recognition, and the 3' end, to which the tRNAs corresponding amino acid is attached (by aminoacyl-tRNA synthetases). tRNAs cope with the degeneracy of the genetic code in two manners: having more than one tRNA (with a specific anti-codon) for a particular amino acid; and 'wobble' base-pairing, i.e. permitting non-standard base-pairing at the 3rd anti-codon position.
Source: RNAcentral
GGGCGAGUGGCGGAAUUGGUAGACGCGCUGGGUUCAGGGUCCAGUGCUCGUAGGGGCAUGCGGGUUCGAGUCCCGCCUCGCCCACCA